CCCUGCUCAACGUUCAGCAUUGACCGCCGGCGCUACGUGCUCGACUCGCCAAAGGCCGAAGUGCGCGGUCAGGUGCUGGCACCGCUGCCCCUGCACGGAGAUAUAACCCUCAGUUAAGAACCAUGGAGAAGAGGCAUUUUCUACAGAAGACUUGAUUUGCAAUUCAUAUGCUACUCUAAGAGAGGGAAAAUUCAUCCCCCACCCUGCAGAGUUUGUGUAGUUUAACUUCUGCUCCACUAAUCUGGCUUGGAAAUGUAUUCUCCUCUUAAUUUGUGAAUGAAAUGAAAGGACACAUUAUAUCUCAUUAAUGCCACGAAUCAAUGUCUGGCAAAGCACUGGAAGUGAUCUCUGGUGAAUAUCGCAGUGGUGGAAAGCAUGCAGUCUAGGCUGCCUGGAUUGAAUGUGAGCUUCAUCACCCACUGUCAAUGACCUUGGGCAAGUUACCAACUCUCUCUGUGCCUCAGUUUCUUCCUCUCACAUGGGGAAGGACUUAUUUCGUUAGGUUGCUAUGGGGAUUAAAUUACUUAUAUAUUUGAAAUGCUCACAAGAGUACCUAGUAUUUUAAAAUGUGUUUUGUCAAAUUUAAAAAUACAGUAACUAAAAUAUCAAUAUGCUCCUCAUAGGGGUAUCCAG
Nycticebus coucang (slow loris) is the source of this 633-nucleotide long non-coding RNA. RefSeq lists it as uncharacterized. NCBI's taxonomy places the organism in Eukaryota, Metazoa, Chordata, Mammalia, Primates, Lorisidae. The transcript is spliced from 4 exons. The record is from RefSeq and is a predicted model, not a curated record.